GGUGGCUCAGUGGUAGAGCGCUUUGCCUUGCAUGCAUGAGGCCUUGGGUUUGAUUUCCCAGCACCA
This 66-nucleotide transfer RNA is filed under the name Dipodomys ordii (Ord's kangaroo rat). It matches the Rfam family "tRNA". Rfam says of the family: Transfer RNA (tRNA) molecules are approximately 80 nucleotides in length. Their secondary structure includes four short double-helical elements and three loops (D, anti-codon, and T loops). The record is from Rfam by way of RNAcentral. Lineage: Eukaryota; Metazoa; Chordata; Mammalia; Rodentia; Heteromyidae.